This 301-nucleotide ribosomal RNA is filed under the name uncultured bacterium. Its description in RNAcentral is "partial 16S ribosomal RNA". It matches the Rfam family "Bacterial small subunit ribosomal RNA", at positions 509 to 807 of the family's 1533-position model. The record is from RNAcentral.
CAGUAGCCGCGGGAAUACGAAGGGGGCUAGCGUUGUUCGGAAUUACUGGGCGUAAAGCGCACGUAGGCGGAUAUUUAAGUCGGUGGUGAAAUCCUGGAGCUCAACUGCAGAACUGCCUUUGAUACUGGGAAUCUUGAGUAUGGGAGAGGUUAGUGGAAUUGCGAGUGUAGAGGUGAAAUUCGUAGAUAUUCGCAGGAACACCAGUGGCGAAGGCGGCUAACUGGUCCAUAACUGACGCUGAGGUGCGAAAGCGUGGGGAGCAAACAGGAUUAGAUACCCGUGUAGUCCCUGUCUCUUAUAC